AGCUUGCUUCUUGAGCGAGUGGCGAACGGGUGAGUAACGCGUGAGGAACCUGCCUCAAAGAGGGGGACAACAGUUGGAAACGACUGCUAAUACCGCAUAACACAUAGCUAUCGCAUGGUAAUUAUGUCAAAGAUUUAUCGCCGAAGGAUGGGCUCGCGUCUGAUUAGAUAGUUGGUGAGGUAACGGCUCACCAAGUCGACGAUCAGUAGCCGGACUGAGAGGUUGAACGGCCACAUUGGGACUGAGAUACGGCCCAGACUCC
RNAcentral lists this ribosomal RNA (262 nucleotides) under uncultured Oscillospiraceae bacterium. Its description in RNAcentral is "partial 16S ribosomal RNA". It matches the Rfam family "Bacterial small subunit ribosomal RNA", at positions 77 to 339 of the family's 1533-position model. The record is from RNAcentral. Lineage: Bacteria; Bacillati; Bacillota; Clostridia; Eubacteriales; Oscillospiraceae.